GGGGUUAGUGGCGGACGGGUGAGUAACACGUGGGAACGUGCCUUUAGGUUCGGAAUAGCUCCUGGAAACGGGUGGUAAUGCCGAAUGUGCCCUUCGGGGGAAAGAUUUAUCGCCUUUAGAGCGGCCCGCGUCUGAUUAGCUAGUUGGUGAGGUAAUGGCUCACCAAGGCGACGAUCAGUAGCUGGUCUGAGAGGAUGACCAGCCACAUUGGGACUGAGACACGGCCCAAACUCCUACGGGAGGCAGCAGUGGGGAAUCUUGCGCAAUGGGCGAAAGCCUGACGCAGCCAUGCCGCGUGAAUGAUGAAGGUCUUAGGAUUGUAAAAUUCUUUCACCGGGGACGAUAAUGACGGUACCCGGAGAAGAAGCCCCGGCUAACUUCGUGCCAGCAGCCGCGGUAAUACGAAGGGGGCUAGCGUUGCUCGGAAUUACUGGGCGUAAAGGGCGCGUAGGCGGACAUUUAAGUCAGGGGUGAAAUCCCAGAGCUCAACUCUGGAACUGCCUUUGAUACUGGGUGUCUUGAGUGUGAGAGAGGUAUGUGGAACUCCGAGUGUAGAGGUGAAAUUCGUAGAUAUUCGGAAGAACACCAGUGGCGAAGGCGACAUACUGGCUCAUUACUGACGCUGAG
RNAcentral lists this ribosomal RNA (627 nucleotides) under Brevundimonas bullata. Its description in RNAcentral is "bacterial SSU rRNA". It matches the Rfam family "Bacterial small subunit ribosomal RNA", at positions 88 to 750 of the family's 1533-position model. The record is from RNAcentral. Lineage: Bacteria; Pseudomonadati; Pseudomonadota; Alphaproteobacteria; Caulobacterales; Caulobacteraceae.